AGGUCUCCGUAGGUGAACCUGCGGAGGGAUCAUUACUGAGAGAGGGCUCCGGCCCGACCUCCAACCCUUUGUGAACCAACCUGUUGCUUCGGGGGCGACCCUGCCGUCCGCGGCGCGGCGCCCCCGGAGGCUCUCAAACACUGCGUUAAUUACGUCGGAGUCUCAAGUAAAUUGAACAAAACUUUCAACAACGGAUCUCUUGGUUCUGGCAUCGAUGAAGAACGCAGCGAAAUGCGAUAAGUAAUGUGAAUUGCAGAAUUCAGUGAAUCAUCGAAUCUUUGAACGCACAUUGCGCCCCCUGGUAUUCCGGGGGGCAUGCCUGUUCGAGCGUCAUUUCACCACUCAAGCCUGGCUUGGUAUUGGGCGCCGCGUGUACCGCGCGCCUUAAAGUCUCCGGCUGAGCUGUCCGUCUCCUAGCGUUGUGAUACAUAUUCGCUACGGGUGCCGGGCGGCCGCGGCCGUUAAACUUCUUUCAAGGUUGACCUCGGAUCAGGUAGGGAUACCCGCUGAACUUAAGCAUAUCAAUAAGCGGAGGAAAAGAAACCAACAGGGAUUGCCCU
Molecule: ribosomal RNA, 560 nt
Filed under: fungal endophyte
Lineage: Eukaryota; Fungi
Description: eukaryotic LSU rRNA
Rfam family: 5.8S ribosomal RNA (bases 180-333)
Source: RNAcentral